GUCGAGCGAUGAAAGUUCCUUCGGGGAAAAACGGAUUAGCGGCGGACGGGGGUGAGUAAACACGUGGGGUAAACCCCUGCCCUCAUAGAGGGGGAAAAUAGCCUUUCGAAAGGAAGAUUAAUACCGCAUAAGAUUGUAAUACCGCAUGGUACAGCAAUUAAAGGAGUAAUCCGCUAUGAGAUGGACCCGCGUCGCAUUAGCUAGUUGGUGAGGUAACGGCUCACCAAGGCGACGAUGCGUAGCCGACCUGAGAGGGUGAUCGGCCACAUUGGGACUGAGACACGGCCCAGACUCCUACGGGAGGCAGCAGUGGGGAAUAUUGCACAAUGGGGGAAACCCUGAUGCAGCAACGCCGCGUGAGUGAUGACGGUCUUCGGAUUGUAAAGCUCUGUCUUUAGGGACGAUAAUGACGGUACCUAAGGAGGAAGCCACGGCUAACUACGUGC
This 446-nucleotide ribosomal RNA is filed under the name uncultured Francisella sp. RNAcentral describes it as "bacterial SSU rRNA". It matches the Rfam family "Bacterial small subunit ribosomal RNA", at positions 61 to 508 of the family's 1533-position model. Lineage: Bacteria; Pseudomonadati; Pseudomonadota; Gammaproteobacteria; Thiotrichales; Francisellaceae. The record is from RNAcentral.